UACAGGGGGGGCAAGCGUUGUUCGGAAUUACUGGGCGUAAAGGGCUCGUAGGUGGCCAACUAAGUCAGACGUGAAAUCCCUCAGCUUAACUGGGGAACUGCGUGUGAUACUGGAUGGCUUGGAUUUGGGAGAGGGAUGCGGAAUUCCAGGUGUAGCGGUGAAAUGCGUAGAUAUCUGGAGGAACACCGGUGGCGAAGGCGGCAUCCUGGACCAAUAUUGACGCUGAGGAGCGAAAGCUAGGGGAGCAAACGGG
Molecule: ribosomal RNA, 253 nt
Filed under: uncultured bacterium
Lineage: Bacteria
Description: partial 16S ribosomal RNA
Rfam family: Bacterial small subunit ribosomal RNA
Source: RNAcentral